AUGGAGAGGCCUCAGACUGAGGUGAUCAGGUGACAGAGAGGCCCUUGGCAGAAGCCACCAGCAAAGCAGAAGAGGAGUCACUGGUUUCACAGAUCUCGGGUUCCAACCCCAACUCUGACACUGAUUUGCUGGGUGACCUUAAGCAAGUCAUUUCCCCUCUCCAGUUCCCAUAGUAUGUAAAAUGAGGGGGUUCUGAGGUCCAUUCCUGAUGUUUUGGAGUCCUAGGAGAGGCUCUUAUCUCAAUCCUCCCCUCCACAAGACAGUUAGGAAUAAGUGAAGUCUGAGGGUCUCUGGGUGGCUUCAUGGACACCUGUAUUCACUCUCAAUUCAAGAGACCGUGCAGGGUUUGCAGAAGAGCCAAGUAAGUGGGCAAGGGCUCCUAUUCCAGUCUCUCAGGUUUAGGUGUAGGAUCCCCGAGGCAGGGCAGGAU
This 430-nucleotide long non-coding RNA is filed under the name Androctonus crassicauda. Lineage: Eukaryota; Metazoa; Arthropoda; Arachnida; Scorpiones; Buthidae. The record is from RNAcentral.